CGGUGGAGCAUGUGGUUUAAUUCGAAGCAACGCGAAGAACCUUACCAGGCCUUGACAUGCAGAGAACUUUCCAGAGAUGGAUUGGUGCCUUCGGGAACUCUGACACAGGUGCUGCAUGGCUGUCGUCAGCUCGUGUCGUGAGAUGUUGGGUUAAGUCCCGUAACGAGCGCAACCCUUGUCCUUAGUUACCAGCACGUUAUGGUGGGCACUCUAAGGAGACUGCCGGUGACAAACCGGAGGAAGGUGGGAAUGACGUCAAGUCAUCAUGGCCCUUACGGCCUGGGCUACACACGUGCUACAAUGGUCGGUACAAAGGGUUGCCAAGCCGCGAGGUGGAGCUAAUCCCAUAAAACCGAUCGUAGUCCGGAUCGCAGUCUGCAACUCGACUGCGUGAAGUCGGAAUCGCUAGUAAUCGUGAAUCAGAAUGUCACGGUGAAUACGUUCCCGGGCCUU
Molecule: ribosomal RNA, 453 nt
Filed under: uncultured Pseudomonas sp.
Lineage: Bacteria; Pseudomonadati; Pseudomonadota; Gammaproteobacteria; Pseudomonadales; Pseudomonadaceae
Description: bacterial SSU rRNA
Rfam family: Bacterial small subunit ribosomal RNA
Source: RNAcentral